GGUUGGGGAGGUGGGGGGAAGCGAAGCCCUAAGAUGGGCGGAGAGAAGCAGAUGUGGAGGUGAUGGCGAAGACCCAGAUAUAAGCAGUUGGUGAGUUCCAUGAGGAGACUGCAACUUCUCCACCCUGUGCCCCUCCAGAUCCCUCAUGCUGCUCUGUGUCCUCCAGGGUUGGCCUGUCCAAGUUCAACAGUGGGCUUCCACACCCUCCCACUUCCAGCUGGGUUGGCCAAGGACUUUCAACUGCGGCACCAGAAGGGACCUUAUAGCUGAGAAAAUUGAAGCUCAGAGAGCUGCAGCAGCUUGCCCAGCAUCAUACGGCACUGGAAAUGGUCAGCCAAUGUGUUCCGUAGAGCACGACUUGAGUUCAUCUGUAAAAUGGGCCUAAUAACAGUGCCUAUCUUUAGAGUUGUGAAGAUUAAAGAAGACAAUGCUUAUAAAGCUCUUGGUGGCCGGAUGUGGUGGCUCAUACCUGUAAUCCCAGCACUUUGGGAAGCCGAGGCAGGAGGAUCACUUGAG
Molecule: long non-coding RNA, 516 nt
Filed under: Homo sapiens (human)
Lineage: Eukaryota; Metazoa; Chordata; Mammalia; Primates; Hominidae
Description: HSALNT0388028
Source: RNAcentral